RNAcentral lists this ribosomal RNA (485 nucleotides) under Tectura virginea. Its description in RNAcentral is "partial 16S ribosomal RNA". It matches the Rfam family "Bacterial large subunit ribosomal RNA", at positions 1931 to 2503 of the family's 2925-position model. Lineage: Eukaryota; Metazoa; Mollusca; Gastropoda; Lottiidae. The record is from RNAcentral.
CCGCGGUACCCUGACCGUGCAAAGGUAGCACAAUAAAUCGCCCCCUAAUUAGGGGCAUGUAUCAACGGCGACACGAAAGUGGGGCUGUCUCGGGGGUGUUAUAUUGAAACUGACUUACGGGUGAACGGGCCCGUAUACAGCCAACAGACGACAAGACCCCGUCGAACUUUAGAGAAAAAGCUGUAUCUCUAAAAGUAUAAGCCCCCUCUCUUUGGUUGGGGCAACCAAGGACCAAACAAACCGUCCUUUCUUCAAGAAUCCAACAAACAAAAAAAUGAGUGUAAGACACUUAUAGAGGGCCCCUAACCCUCGGAUACCUUCAAUAAAGUAGCAUUAAAGCUCGACUAAUAAUUACUGCUCGCCUAAAACAACAGGCCCACAGGCCUGUCUUUGUCUUAAGAUCUUCAAUAGAUCUGGGGGACACUCCCUGUCUUAGGGGAAAAGUUACCGCGGGGGUAACAGCGCGAUUCUUCNUACCAGAACAC